This 433-nucleotide ribosomal RNA is filed under the name uncultured bacterium. Its description in RNAcentral is "bacterial SSU rRNA". It matches the Rfam family "Bacterial small subunit ribosomal RNA", at positions 355 to 803 of the family's 1533-position model. The record is from RNAcentral.
UCGGGAAUUUUGGGCAAUGGGGGAAACCCUGACCCAGCAACGCCGCGUGAAGGAUGAAGUAUUUCGGUAUGUAAACUUCGAAAGAAUAGGAAGAAUAAAUGACGGUACUAUUUAUAAGGUCCGGCUAACUACGUGCCAGCAGCCGCGGUAAUACGUAGGGACCAAGCGUUGUUCGGAUUUACUGGGCGUAAAGGGCGCGUAGGCGGCAAUUCAAGUCAUCUGUGAAAUCUCCGGGCUUAACUCGGAACGGUCAGAUGAUACUGCUUUGCUAGAGUGCAGAAGGGGCAAUCGGAAUUCUUGGUGUAGCGGUGAAAUGCGUAGAUAUCAAGAGGAACACCUGAGGUGAAGACGGGUUGCUGGGCUGACACUGACGCUGAGGCGCGAAAGCCAGGGGAGCAAACGGGAUUAGAUACCCCCGUAGUCCCUGAGCGGG